This 253-nucleotide ribosomal RNA is filed under the name uncultured bacterium. Its description in RNAcentral is "partial 16S ribosomal RNA". It matches the Rfam family "Bacterial small subunit ribosomal RNA", at positions 524 to 776 of the family's 1533-position model. The record is from RNAcentral.
UACGUAGGGGGCGAGCGUUGUCCGGAUUUAUUGGGCGUAAAGAGCGUGUAGGCGGCCAGGUAAGUCGGUUGUGAAAACUGGAGGCUUAACCUUCAGACGUCGACCGAAACUAUCUGGCUAGAGUCCGGAAGAGGAGAGUGGAAUUCCUGGUGUAGCGGUGAAAUGCGCAGAUAUCAGGAAGAACACCCGUGGCGAAGGCGGCUCUCUGGGACGGUACUGACGCUGAGACGCGAAAGCGUGGGGAGCGAACAGG